GACGAACGCUGGCGGCGUGCUUAACACAUGCAAGUCGAACGGAAAGGCCCUGCUUUUGUGGGGUGCUCGAGUGGCGAACGGGUGAGUAACACGUGAGUAACCUGCCCUUGACUUUGGGAUAACUUCAGGAAACUGGGGCUAAUACCGGAUAGGAGCUCCUGCUGCAUGGUGGGGGUUGGAAAGUUUCGGCGGUUGGGGAUGGACUCGCGGCUUAUCAGCUUGUUGGUGGGGUAGUGGCUUACCAAGGCUUUGACGGGUAGCCGGCCUGGGAGGGUGACCGGCCACAUUGGGACUGAGAUACGGCCCAGACUCCUACAGGGGGCAGCAGUGGGGAAUAUUGCACAAUGGGCGGAAGCCUGAUGCAGCAACGCCGCGUGCGGGAUGACGGCCUUCGGGUUGUAAACCGCUUUCGCCUGUGACGAAGCGUGAGUGACGGUAAUGGGUAAAGAAGCACCGGCUAACUACGUG
RNAcentral lists this ribosomal RNA (468 nucleotides) under uncultured bacterium. RNAcentral's name for it is "partial 16S ribosomal RNA". It matches the Rfam family "Bacterial small subunit ribosomal RNA", at positions 28 to 507 of the family's 1533-position model. The record is from RNAcentral.